AGAAUAUUAUAUGAGGUAAUGUUAUAAUAUGGGGUGUGAGGAUAUUAUAUGAGGUAAUGUUAUGUUAUAAUAUGGAGUGUGAGGAUAUUAUAUGAGGUAAUGUUAUAAUAUGGGGUGUGAGGAUAUUAUAUGAGGUAAUGUUAUAAUAUGGGGUGUGAGGAUAUUAUAUGGGGUAAUGUUAUGUUAUAAUAUGGGGUGUGAUGAUAUUAUAUGAGGUAAUGUUAUAAUAUGGGGUGUGAGGAUAUUAUAUGAGGUAAUGUUAUGUUAUAAUAUGGGGUGUGAGGAUAUUAUAUGGGGUAAUGUUAUGUUAUAA
Molecule: long non-coding RNA, 313 nt
Filed under: Pelobates cultripes (western spadefoot toad)
Lineage: Eukaryota; Metazoa; Chordata; Amphibia; Anura; Pelobatidae
Source: RNAcentral